This 882-nucleotide ribosomal RNA is filed under the name uncultured bacterium. Its description in RNAcentral is "bacterial SSU rRNA". It matches the Rfam family "Bacterial small subunit ribosomal RNA", at positions 78 to 943 of the family's 1533-position model. The record is from RNAcentral.
UGACGUUGGGAAAGCGAGCGGCGGAUGGGUGAGUAACACGUGGGGAACCUGCCCCUAAGUCUGGGAUACCAUUUGGAAACAGGUGCUAAUACCGGAUAAUAAAGCAGAUCGCAUGAUCAGCUUUUGAAAGGCGGCGUAAGCUGUCGCUAAGGGAUGGCCCCGCGGUGCAUUAGCUAGUUGGUAAGGUAACGGCUUACCAAGGCGACGAUGCAUAGCCGAGUUGAGAGACUGAUCGGCCACAUUGGGACUGAGACACGGCCCAAACUCCUACGGGAGGCAGCAGUAGGGAAUCUUCCACAAUGGACGCAAGUCUGAUGGAGCAACGCCGCGUGAGUGAAGAAGGUUUUCGGAUCGUAAAGCUCUGUUGUUGGUGAAGAAGGAUAGAGGUAGUAACUGGCCUUUAUUUGACGGUAAUCAACCAGAAAGUCACGGCUAACUACGUGCCAGCAGCCGCGGUAAUACGUAGGUGGCAAGCGUUGUCCGGAUUUAUUGGGCGUAAAGCGAGCGCAGGCGGAAAAAUAAGUCUAAUGUGAAAGCCCUCGGCUUAACCGAGGAACUGCAUCGGAAACUGUUUUUCUUGAGUGCAGAAGAGGAGAGUGGAACUCCAUGUGUAGCGGUGGAAUGCGUAGAUAUAUGGAAGAACACCAGUGGCGAAGGCGGCUCUCUGGUCUGCAACUGACGCUGAGGCUCGAAAGCAUGGGUAGCGAACAGGAUUAGAUACCCUGGUAGUCCAUGCCGUAAACGAUGAGUGCUAAGUGUUGGGAGGUUUCCGCCUCUCAGUGCUGCAGCUAACGCAUUAAGCACUCCCCCCUGGGGAGUACGACCGCAAGGUUGAAACUCAAAGGAAUUGACGGGGGCCCCGCACAAGCGGUGGAGCAUGUG